This 204-nucleotide ribosomal RNA is filed under the name Triticum aestivum (bread wheat). RNAcentral describes it as "partial small subunit ribosomal RNA". Lineage: Eukaryota; Viridiplantae; Streptophyta; Magnoliopsida; Poales; Poaceae. The record is from RNAcentral.
AAAGAACACCAAGAUGAGUGUUUCCGAGGGCGAAUCCACUUUGAAUUUGAUAAAUGUAUUGCUUGUGAAGUAUGUGUUCGCGUAUGUCCGAUAGAUCUACCCGUUGUGGAUUGGAGAUUUGAAAAGGAUAUUAAAAGAAAACAAUUGCUUAAUUAUAGUAUUGAUUUCGGAGUUUGUAUAUUUUGUGGCAAUUGUGUUGAGUAG